Molecule: small nuclear RNA, 103 nt
Filed under: Microtus ochrogaster (prairie vole)
Lineage: Eukaryota; Metazoa; Chordata; Mammalia; Rodentia; Cricetidae
Source: RNAcentral
UCACUUUGGUAGCAUAUUUACUAAAAUUGGGAUGAAACAGAGAACUUUAGGAUGGUCCUUAUGCAAGAAUGACAUGCAUACUCAUGAAGCAUUCUAUGUAUUU